This 1475-nucleotide long non-coding RNA is filed under the name Oryctolagus cuniculus (rabbit). RNAcentral's name for it is "lncRNA (ENSOCUG00000038649.1)". The record is from RNAcentral. Lineage: Eukaryota; Metazoa; Chordata; Mammalia; Lagomorpha; Leporidae.
AGUAGGGAGUGGGACACAGGACGGUCUUUACCGCGACUGUGGAGCUCGUGGCGAGCGCUGGGCAGGAGCAGCGGGCGGAGAUGCGGGUUUCAGAGCCGUGCUCGCCACGCUCCCAGCGUGGCCCGACACUGGCGCCGUUGGGGGAGCGAGGGUAACAAGACAGUCGAGCUCGGGGAAGCUGGUCAGCUGUGCCGCUCUGGGCUCACAGCACUGGCUAUCGUGAGGCCCGGCCAGCACUUGCAGACACGAGCACACGCACAUUCCACGGUCACGCACAAACCUGCCCCACGCCCUCCUCAGGGGGUGGGGUGGAGCCCUGCAGUGCAGGCUCUCCCAUGGUGGGGCCAGGCUGGGCCAGGCUUUCUCUCCAGCAGUGAGCGGCCCGCGCAGGGACCACGCAGCGCUGUUAGAGAACCCACAGACCCGAUGGUCUCUCAGUCCUGCUUGGUGCUGGCGAGGGGGUGUCUACAAUACCAUGCGUGCAUGGCCCGCGCGUGCAGGCUGACUCUGCUGACCGACGCCAGGUGGCCUGUUCCGGGUGGCGGCAGGGGCGACAGGUAUCUGACAGUCUGCGCCCAGCCUGGCUGUGCCAGAGUCGUCCUCCGAUACCCGCCGGACCCACGAAGGGACAGGGUUCCGGGUGCGGGGACUUGGGUUCCUCUGUGAGCUUGGUGUCCGGAAAAUAAGGCCGUUCGGGCGGGCGUGGGGGCAGCAGAGACGCAAGCACACAUGCAGGGAGCUGGGCCAGUCACUCGCUCCACUGCUUCUCUCUCCCUCCCGAAGAGCGAGCCGGCUUGAAGCCGAAACACGCGCGUACGCGUGCACAUACAUGUGCAUGCACACACACAGAGGAGCCCGGGGCCGAAGACUCCUGCAGUGGGUAGGCGAGGGACUCGCGAGCUCAGGACGACCCACUUUCCCCCAGGUUUUCCGAGACCUCAGGCCCAGAAUGGCGGGGGUGGGCCCGGGCGGGGUCAGCUUCCCAGUUGCAAAGGUUUUGGUUGUCUGAGGGGAGAGCAGCCCCUUGCGGAAUCAUUAAAGCUUCGGAGACACAGUCAUAGUUAAGAUCUGGAGACAGAGAGACCACGCUAAGGAAUUUUUUUUUUGUUCUUUUUUGAGUAAGGUACUGGAGUGGGUGGAGCUGGAGGGAAAAGAACCCAGUAAAUAGGCCGGCGCCGCGGGUCAAUAGGCUAAUCCUCCACCUGCGGCACCGAUACACCGGGUUCUAGUCCCGGUGGGGUGCAGGAUUCUGUCCCAGUUGCUCCUCUUCCAGGCCAGCUCUCUGCUGUGGCCAGGGAGUGCAGUGGAGAAUGGCCCAAGUGCUUGGGCCCUGCACCUGCAUGAGAGACCAGGAGAAGCUGGCCGCGGUGGCCAUUGGAGGGUGAACCGACGGCAAAAGGAAGACCUUUCUCUCUGUCUCUCUCUCACUGUCCACUCUGCCUGUCAAAUAAAAUAAAUAAAUAAAUAAGAACCCA